CUGUGUCUCUGUCAAAUAAAUAAAAAUAAAAUCUUUAAAAAUAUAUAUAUUGACUUAUUGAAAAAGCUAUCUGACUUGAUAAGUUCUCCAAAAACUUCUCUCUCCAUGUCUCAUCAAACUGUUGUUGAAAUCUCUUUGCUUUUGUUAAGUUUUUCCAGGAAGUCUGAAUAAUGGAGUGUAAUUUCUUGGGUAUUUCUGUGGUUAAAUAAGUAUUUCCUACAACUCUCUCUAUUCUGAAUAUCAGUAAAACAUUACAUGUAUCCUGUAUAUUUGCUGUUAGAAUUGCAGUCAGUUGCUCUAUAACAGAUGUAAAAUC
Molecule: long non-coding RNA, 316 nt
Organism: Mustela erminea (ermine)
Lineage: Eukaryota; Metazoa; Chordata; Mammalia; Carnivora; Mustelidae
Exons: 4
Source: RefSeq, a predicted model, not a curated record